UUAAGCGACUAAGCGUACACGGUGGAUGCCCUGGCAGUCAGAGGCGAUGAAGGACGUGCUAAUCUGCGAUAAGCGUCGGUAAGGUGAUAUGAACCGUUAUAACCGGCGAUUUCCGAAUGGGGAAACCCAGUGUGAUUCGUCACACUAUCAUUAACUGAAUCCAUAGGUUAAUGAGGCGAACCGGGGGAACUGAAACAUCUAAGUACCCCGAGGAAAAGAAAUCAACCGAGAUUCCCCCAGUAGCGGCGAGCGAACGGGGAGCAGCCCAGAGCCUGAAUCAGUGUGUGUGUUAGUGGAAGCGUCUGGAAAGGCGCGCGAUACAGGGUGACAGCCCCGUACACAAAAAUGCACAUGCUGUGAGCUCGAUGAGUAGGGCGGGACACGUGGUAUCCUGUCUGAAUAUGGGGGGACCAUCCUCCAAGGCUAAAUACUCCUGACUGACCGAUAGUGAACCAGUACCGUGAGGGAAAGGCGAAAAGAACCCCGGCGAGGGGAGUGAAAAAGAACCUGAAACCGUGUACGUACAAGCAGUGGGAGCACGCUUAGGCGUGUGACUGCGUACCUUUUGUAUAAUGGGUCAGCGACUUAUAUUCUGUAGCAAGGUUAACCGAAUAGGGGAGCCGAAGGGAAACCGAGUCUUAACUGGGCGUUAAGUUGCAGGGUAUAGACCCGAAACCCGGUGAUCUAGCCAUGGGCAGGUUGAAGGUUGGGUAACACUAACUGGAGGACCGAACCGACUAAUGUUGAAAAAUUAGCGGAUGACUUGUGGCUGGGGGUGAAAGGCCAAUCAAACCGGGAGAUAGCUGGUUCUCCCCGAAAGCUAUUUAGGUAGCGCCUCGUGAAUUCAUCUCCGGGGGUAGAGCACUGUUUCGGCAAGGGGGUCAUCCCGACUUACCAACCCGAUGCAAACUGCGAAUACCGGAGAAUGUUAUCACGGGAGACACACGGCGGGUGCUAACGUCCGUCGUGAAGAGGGAAACAACCCAGACCGCCAGCUAAGGUCCCAAAGUCAUGGUUAAGUGGGAAACGAUGUGGGAAGGCCCAGACAGCCAGGAUGUUGGCUUAGAAGCAGCCAUCAUUUAAAGAAAGCGUAAUAGCUCACUGGUCGAGUCGGCCUGCGCGGAAGAUGUAACGGGGCUAAACCAUGCACCGAAGCUGCGGCAGCGACGCUUAUGCGUUGUUGGGUAGGGGAGCGUUCUGUAAGCCUGUGAAGGUGUACUGUGAGGUAUGCUGGAGGUAUCAGAAGUGCGAAUGCUGACAUAAGUAACGAUAAAGCGGGUGAAAAGCCCGCUCGCCGGAAGACCAAGGGUUCCUGUCCAACGUUAAUCGGGGCAGGGUGAGUCGACCCCUAAGGCGAGGCCGAAAGGCGUAGUCGAUGGGAAACAGGUUAAUAUUCCUGUACUUGGUGUUACUGCGAAGGGGGGACGGAGAAGGCUAUGUUGGCCGGGCGACGGUUGUCCCGGUUUAAGCGUGUAGGCUGGUUUUCCAGGCAAAUCCGGAAAAUCAAGGCUGAGGCGUGAUGACGAGGCACUACGGUGCUGAAGCAACAAAUGCCCUGCUUCCAGGAAAAGCCUCUAAGCAUCAGGUAACAUCAAAUCGUACCCCAAACCGACACAGGUGGUCAGGUAGAGAAUACCAAGGCGCUUGAGAGAACUCGGGUGAAGGAACUAGGCAAAAUGGUGCCGUAACUUCGGGAGAAGGCACGCUGAUAUGUAGGUGAAGUCCCUCGCGGAUGGAGCUGAAAUCAGUCGAAGAUACCAGCUGGCUGCAACUGUUUAUUAAAAACACAGCACUGUGCAAACACGAAAGUGGACGUAUACGGUGUGACGCCUGCCCGGUGCCGGAAGGUUAAUUGAUGGGGUCAGCGCAAGCGAAGCUCUUGAUCGAAGCCCCGGUAAACGGCGGCCGUAACUAUAACGGUCCUAAGGUAGCGAAAUUCCUUGUCGGGUAAGUUCCGACCUGCACGAAUGGCGUAAUGAUGGCCAGGCUGUCUCCACCCGAGACUCAGUGAAAUUGAACUCGCUGUGAAGAUGCAGUGUACCCGCGGCAAGACGGAAAGACCCCGUGAACCUUUACUAUAGCUUGACACUGAACAUUGAGCCUUGAUGUGUAGGAUAGGUGGGAGGCUUGGAAGUGUGGACGCCAGUCUGCAUGGAGCCGACCUUGAAAUACCACCCUUUAAUGUUUGAUGUUCUAACGUUGACCCGUAAUCCGGGUUGCGGACAGUGUCUGGUGGGUAGUUUGACUGGGGCGGUCUCCUCCUAAAGAGUAACGGAGGAGCACGAAGGUUGGCUAAUCCUGGUCGGACAUCAGGAGGUUAGUGCAAUGGCAUAAGCCAGCUUGACUGCGAGCGUGACGGCGCGAGCAGGUGCGAAAGCAGGUCAUAGUGAUCCGGUGGUUCUGAAUGGAAGGGCCAUCGCUCAACGGAUAAAAGGUACUCCGGGGAUAACAGGCUGAUACCGCCCAAGAGUUCAUAUCGACGGCGGUGUUUGGCACCUCGAUGUCGGCUCAUCACAUCCUGGGGCUGAAGUAGGUCCCAAGGGUAUGGCUGUUCGCCAUUUAAAGUGGUACGCGAGCUGGGUUUAGAACGUCGUGAGACAGUUCGGUCCCUAUCUGCCGUGGGCGCUGGAGAACUGAGGGGGGCUGCUCCUAGUACGAGAGGACCGGAGUGGACGCAUCACUGGUGUUCGGGUUGUCAUGCCAAUGGCACUGCCCGGUAGCUAAAUGCGGAAGAGAUAAGUGCUGAAAGCAUCUAAGCACGAAACUUGCCCCGAGAUGAGUUCUCCCUGACUCCUUGAGAGUCCUGAAGGAACGUUGAAGACGACGACGUUGAUAGGCCGGAUGUGUAAGCGCAGCGAUGCGUUGAGCUAACCGGUACUAAUGAACCGUGAGGCUUAACCUU
RNAcentral lists this ribosomal RNA (2902 nucleotides) under Escherichia coli. RNAcentral's name for it is "bacterial LSU rRNA". It matches the Rfam family "Bacterial large subunit ribosomal RNA". Lineage: Bacteria; Pseudomonadati; Pseudomonadota; Gammaproteobacteria; Enterobacterales; Enterobacteriaceae. The record is from RNAcentral.